Molecule: ribosomal RNA, 292 nt
Filed under: uncultured Streptococcus sp.
Lineage: Bacteria; Bacillati; Bacillota; Bacilli; Lactobacillales; Streptococcaceae
Description: partial 16S ribosomal RNA
Rfam family: Bacterial small subunit ribosomal RNA
Source: RNAcentral
GCAACGAGCGCAACCCCUAUUGUUAGUUGCCAUCAUUCAGUUUGGGCACUCUAGCGAGACUGCCGGUAAUAAACCGGAGGAAGGUGGGAUGACGUCAAAUCAUCAUGCCCCUUAUGACCUGGGCUACACACGUGCUACAAUGGUUGGUACAACGAGUUGCGAGUCGGUGACGGCGAGCUAAUCUCUUAAAGCCAAUCUCAGUUCGGAUUGUAGGCUGCAACUCGCCUACAUGAAGUCGGAAUCGCUAGUAAUCGCGGAUCAGCACGCCGCGGUGAAUACGUUCCCGGGCCUU